AUAAAAUAAUUUUUGCAGGCAGUUGGGAUGGCAACCAUCAGGGGCCAGAUUAACACGAAAUGGGGAGGAUUCCGGAAGUUAACGCACAAAAGGAGGAUUGGGACAUAGGUUUUCCGGUAAGAAGCGGUCAAAUCGCCUUAAAAGCAGGAAUGUGAAUCCAGGGUUAACGCC
This 171-nucleotide small RNA is filed under the name Salmonella bongori. RNAcentral describes it as "Salmonella enterica sRNA STnc210". It matches the Rfam family "Salmonella enterica sRNA STnc210". The record is from RNAcentral. Lineage: Bacteria; Pseudomonadati; Pseudomonadota; Gammaproteobacteria; Enterobacterales; Enterobacteriaceae.